CCUACGGGAGGCAGCAGUAAGGAAUAUUGGUCAAUGGAGGCAACUCUGAACCAGCCAUGCCGCGUGCAGGAAGACUGCCCUAUGGGUUGUAAACUGCUUUUAUCCGGGAAUAAACCUACUUACGUGUAAGUAGCUGAAUGUACCGGAAGAAUAAGGAUCGGCUAACUCCGUGCCAGCAGCCGCGGUAAUACGGAGGAUCCAAGCGUUAUCCGGAUUUAUUGGGUUUAAAGGGUGCGUAGGCGGCCUGUUAAGUCAGGGGUGAAAGACGGUAGCUCAACUAUCGCAGUGCCCUUGAUACUGAUGGGCUUGAAUGGACUAGAGGUAGGCGGAAUGAGACAAGUAGCGGUGAAAUGCAUAGAUAUGUCUCAGAACACCGAUUGCGAAGGCAGCUUACUAUGGUCUUAUUGACGCUGAGGCACGAAAGCGUGGGGAUCAAACAGGAUUAGAUACCCUGGUAGUCCACGCCCUAAACGAUGAACACUCGCUGUUGGCGAUACACAGUCAGCGGCUAAGCGAAAGCGUUAAGUGUUCCACCUGGGGAGUACGCCCGCAAGGGUGAAACGUCAAAUGAAAUUGACGGCGUGAGACGUACGACCGACGGACGACGACGAGGGGAGGAGG
RNAcentral lists this ribosomal RNA (621 nucleotides) under uncultured bacterium. RNAcentral describes it as "bacterial SSU rRNA". It matches the Rfam family "Bacterial small subunit ribosomal RNA", at positions 338 to 959 of the family's 1533-position model. The record is from RNAcentral.